GGCGAGGUGGCCUAGUGAUUAAGGCGAUAGACUGCUAAUCUCUGCCGCGUGGGUUCGAAUCCCAUCCUCGUUCG
Non-coding RNA from Caerostris darwini, 74 nucleotides. The record is from the annotation of a GenBank genome assembly. Lineage: Eukaryota; Metazoa; Arthropoda; Arachnida; Araneae; Araneidae.